ACCAUCGAGUUUCGUCUUGACGUCGUUCAACUCUCUUACAACGAGCUCGCGAAUUUUUGCGUCCGUAACGUCGCCGUCUUUCAGUUUAUCCGCAGCCGAGUCGCGAGCUUUAUUCACGAGUAAACCCACUAUUGAACUUAGCAUUUUUGUGACAAUUGACGCCAUACUGAACUCUUAUACUCAAGCAACAAAGCGAUACUGAAUUUACACAAAAUAGACAAUAUGCCC
Molecule: non-coding RNA, 228 nt
Organism: Paramuricea clavata
Lineage: Eukaryota; Metazoa; Cnidaria; Anthozoa; Malacalcyonacea; Plexauridae
Source: the annotation of a GenBank genome assembly